RNAcentral lists this ribosomal RNA (253 nucleotides) under uncultured bacterium. RNAcentral describes it as "partial 16S ribosomal RNA". It matches the Rfam family "Bacterial small subunit ribosomal RNA", at positions 524 to 776 of the family's 1533-position model. The record is from RNAcentral.
UACGUAGGGUGCAAGCGUUGUUCGGAAUUACUGGGCGUAAAGCGCGCGUAGGCGGGUCUGAAAGUCGAUUGUGAAAUACCUGGGCUCAACCUGGGAAUGGCAGUCGAAACUUCAGAUCUUGAGUGUCUGAGAGGAUGGCGGAAUUCCCGGUGUAGUAGUGAAAUACGUAGAUAUCGGGAAGAACACCUGAGGCGAAGGCGGCUAUCUGGCGGUACACUGACGCUAAGGCGCGAAAGCGUGGGGAGCAAACAGG